AUUGAACGCUGGCGGCAUGCUUUACACAUGCAAGUCGAGCGGCAGCGCGGGGGCAACCCUGGCGGCGAGCGGCGAACGGGUGAGUAAUGCAUCGGAACGUACCCUGGAGUGGGGGAUAACGCCGCGAAAGCGGCGCUAAUACCGCAUAUGCUCUGAGGAGGAAAGCGGGGGCUCGCAAGACCUCGCGCUCUGGGAGCGGCCGAUGUCCGAUUAGCUAGUUGGUGGGGUAAAGGCUUACCAAGGCGACGAUCGGUAGCUGGUCUGAGAGGAUGAUCAGCCACACUGGGACUGAGACACGGCCCAGACUCCUACGGGAGGCAGCAGUGGGGAAUUUUGGACAAUGGGGGCAACCCUGAUCCAGCCAUGCCGCGUGAGUGAAGAAGGCCUCGG
RNAcentral lists this ribosomal RNA (390 nucleotides) under uncultured bacterium. RNAcentral describes it as "bacterial SSU rRNA". It matches the Rfam family "Bacterial small subunit ribosomal RNA", at positions 28 to 420 of the family's 1533-position model. The record is from RNAcentral.